AGUAACUGCGAGUGAAGCGGCAAAAGCUCAAAUUUGAAAUCUGGCGUCUUUGGCGUCCGAAUUGUAAUUUGGAGAGGCAACUUCGGAGAUGGUGCUGUCCUAAGUCCCUUGGAACAGGAUGACAUAGAGGGUGAGAUCCCCGUGCCUGGAUGGCUGUCCAUCUCCAUGUGAAAUGCCUUCGAAGAGUCGAGUUGUUUGGGAAUGCAGCUCAAAAUGGGUGGUAAAUUUCAUCUAAAGCUAAAUAUUGGCGAGAGACCGAUAGCGCACAAGUAGAGUGAUCGAAAGAUGAAAAGCACUUUGAAAAGAGAGUUAAAAAGUACGUGAAAUUGUUGAAAGGGAAGCGCUUGAGACCAGACUCGAUUUGUGGUGAUCAGCUGUGCUUCUGUACGGUGCACUCGCCAUGGAUUGGGCCAGCAUCGGUUCUGACGGUGGGAUAAAAGGUUGAGGAAUGUGUCUUCCUUCGGGGAGUGUUAUAGCCUCACUCACAAUGCCACCAGCUGGGACCGAGGACCGCGCUUCGGCUAGGAUGCUGGCGUAAUGGUCUUAAGCGACCCGUCUUGAAACACGGACCAAGGAGUCUAACAUCUAUGCGAGUGUUCGGGUGGAAAACCCUUGCGCGUAAUGAAAGUGAACGGAGGUGGGAACCCGCAAGGGUGCACCAUCGACCGAUCCUGAUGUCUUCGGAAGGAUUUGAGUAAGAGCAUAGCUGUUGGGACCCGAAAGAUGGUGAACUAUGCCUGAAUAGGGUGAAGCCAGAGGAAACUCUGGUGGAGGCUCGCAGCGGUUCUGACGUGCAAAUCGAUCGUCAAAUUUGGGUAUAGG
RNAcentral lists this ribosomal RNA (822 nucleotides) under Wilcoxina sp. RNAcentral's name for it is "partial large subunit ribosomal RNA". It matches the Rfam family "Eukaryotic large subunit ribosomal RNA", at positions 82 to 921 of the family's 3401-position model. Lineage: Eukaryota; Fungi; Ascomycota; Pezizomycetes; Pezizales; Pyronemataceae. The record is from RNAcentral.